UUGACGGGACCCGCACAAGCGGUGGAUGAUGUGGUUUAAUUCGAUGCAACGCGAAAACCUUACCCACCUUUGACAUGUACGGAAUCCUUUAGAGAUAGAGGAGUGCUCGAAAGAGAACCGUAACACAGGUGCUGCAUGGCUGUCGUCAGCUCGUGUCGUGAGAUGUUGGGUUAAGUCCCGCAACGAGCGCAACCCUUGUCAUUAGUUGCUACAUUCAGUUGGGCACUCUAAUGAGACUGCCGGUGACAAACCGGAGGAAGGUGGGGAUGACGUCAAGUCCUCAUGGCCCUUAUAGGUGGGGCUACACACGUCAUACAAUGGAUGGUACAAAGGGUCGCCAACCCGCGAGGGGGAGCCAAUCCCAUAAAGCCAUUCGUAGUCCGGAUCGCAGUCUGCAACUCGACUGCGUGAAGUCGGAAUCGCUAGUAAUCGUGGAUCAGAAUGUCACGGUGAAUACGUUCCCGGGUCUU
This 470-nucleotide ribosomal RNA is filed under the name uncultured Acidovorax sp. RNAcentral's name for it is "bacterial SSU rRNA". It matches the Rfam family "Bacterial small subunit ribosomal RNA", at positions 910 to 1382 of the family's 1533-position model. Lineage: Bacteria; Pseudomonadati; Pseudomonadota; Betaproteobacteria; Burkholderiales; Comamonadaceae. The record is from RNAcentral.